This 615-nucleotide ribosomal RNA is filed under the name cyanobacterium 2-13. RNAcentral's name for it is "bacterial SSU rRNA". It matches the Rfam family "Bacterial small subunit ribosomal RNA", at positions 122 to 770 of the family's 1533-position model. Lineage: Bacteria; Bacillati; Cyanobacteriota. The record is from RNAcentral.
GGAUCUGCCUACAGGGCUGGGACAACAGCUGGAACCGGGUGCUAAAACCGGAUGUGCCGAGAGGUGAAAUAUUUAUAGCCUGUAGAUGAACUCGCGUCUGAUUAACUAGUUGGUGAGGUAAGGGCUCACCAAGGCGACGAUCAGUAGCUGGUCUGAGAGGACGAUCAGCCACACUGGGACUGAGACACGGCCCAGACUCCUACGGGAGGCAGCAGUGGGGAAUUUUCCGCAAUGGGCGAAAGCCUGACGGAGCAAUACCGCGUGAGGGAGGAAGGUCUGUGGAUUGUAAACCUCUUUUGAUAGGGAAGAAGUUCUGACGGUACCUAUCGAAUCACCAUCGGCUAUCUCCGUGCCACCAGCCGCGGUAAUACGGAGGAUGCAAGCGUUAUCCGGAUUUAUUGGGCGUAAAGCGUCCGUAGGUGGUUAAUCAAGUCUAUUGUCAAAGCCUGGGGCUUAACCCUGGAGAGGCGGUGGAAACUGGUUAACUUGAGUGCGGUAGGGGCAGAGGGAAUUCCCAGUGUAGCGGUGAAAUGCGUAGAUAUUGGGAAGAACACCGGUGGCGAAAGCGCUCUGCUGGGCCUGCACUGACACUGAGGGACGAAAGCUAGGGGAGCG